UACGAAGGGUGCAAGCGUUGUUCGGAAUUAUUGGGCGUAAAGCGCGCGCAGGCGGAUUGAUCAGUCAGGUGUGAAAUCUCGAGGCUCAACCUCGAAACUGCGCCUGAAACUAUUAGUCUAGAGUGUCGGAGGGGGUAGGGGAAUUUCACGUGUAGGGGUAAAAUCCGUAGAGAUGUGAAGGAACACCGGAGGCGAAGGCGCCUACCUGGACGACUACUGACGCUGAGGCGCGAAAGCGUGGGGAGCAAACAGG
This 253-nucleotide ribosomal RNA is filed under the name uncultured bacterium. RNAcentral's name for it is "partial 16S ribosomal RNA". It matches the Rfam family "Bacterial small subunit ribosomal RNA", at positions 524 to 776 of the family's 1533-position model. The record is from RNAcentral.